This 259-nucleotide ribosomal RNA is filed under the name uncultured bacterium. RNAcentral's name for it is "partial 16S ribosomal RNA". It matches the Rfam family "Bacterial small subunit ribosomal RNA", at positions 1241 to 1500 of the family's 1533-position model. The record is from RNAcentral.
AAAGAGAAGCAAAGCCGCGAGGUAGAGCAAAUCUCAAAAAAACAUCUCAGUUCAGACUGCAGGCUGCAACUCGCCUGCACGAAGUCGGAAUUGCUAGUAAUCGUAGGUCAGCAUACUACGGUGAAUACGUUCCCGGGCCUUGUACACACCGCCCGUCAAACCAUGAGAGUUGGCAACACCCGAAGUCGGUAGUCUAACCGCAAGGAGGACGCCGCCGAAGGUGGGGUUGAUGAUUAGGGUUAAGUCGUAACAAGGUAAC